UGAAUCAUAUUCGGUGUUUGCCAUGGGA
RNAcentral lists this non-coding RNA (28 nucleotides) under Rattus norvegicus (Norway rat). Lineage: Eukaryota; Metazoa; Chordata; Mammalia; Rodentia; Muridae. The record is from RNAcentral.